GCGGCAAUAUUAAAGUGUCGACUAUAACCCUUAGCCUUCCAAGCUAAUGAUGCGGGUUCGAUUCCCGCUACCCGCC
Molecule: transfer RNA, 76 nt
Filed under: Bryum argenteum
Lineage: Eukaryota; Viridiplantae; Streptophyta; Bryopsida; Bryales; Bryaceae
Description: tRNA-Gly
Rfam family: tRNA
About the family: Transfer RNA (tRNA) molecules are approximately 80 nucleotides in length. Their secondary structure includes four short double-helical elements and three loops (D, anti-codon, and T loops). Further hydrogen bonds mediate the characteristic L-shaped molecular structure. tRNAs have two regions of fundamental functional importance: the anti-codon, which is responsible for specific mRNA codon recognition, and the 3' end, to which the tRNAs corresponding amino acid is attached (by aminoacyl-tRNA synthetases). tRNAs cope with the degeneracy of the genetic code in two manners: having more than one tRNA (with a specific anti-codon) for a particular amino acid; and 'wobble' base-pairing, i.e. permitting non-standard base-pairing at the 3rd anti-codon position.
Source: RNAcentral